UACGGAGGGGGCUAGCGUUGUUCGGAAUUACUGGGCGUAAAGCGCACGUAGGCGGACUGUUAAGUCGGGGGUGAAAUCCUGGGGCUCAACCUCAGAAUUGCCUCCGAUACUGGCAGUCUCGAGUGCGGGAGAGGUGAGUGGAAUUCCCAGUGUAGAGGUGAAAUUCGUAGAUAUUGGGAAGAACACCAGUGGCGAAGGCGGCUCACUGGCCCGUAACUGACGCUGAGGUGCGAAAGUGUGGGGAGCAAACGGG
RNAcentral lists this ribosomal RNA (253 nucleotides) under uncultured bacterium. RNAcentral's name for it is "partial 16S ribosomal RNA". It matches the Rfam family "Bacterial small subunit ribosomal RNA", at positions 524 to 776 of the family's 1533-position model. The record is from RNAcentral.